CAUACGGGUGGCAGCAGGGGGGAAUAUUGCGCAAUGGGCGAAAGCCUGACGCAGCGACGCCGCGUGAGGGCUGAAGGUCUUCGGAUCGUAAACCUCUGUCAGCAGGGAAGAACGGUCACUGGGCUAAUCAGCAGUGAAUUGACGGUACCUGAAAAGGAAGCACCGGCUAACUCCGUGCCAGCAGCCGCGGUAAUACGGAGGGUGCGAGCGUUAAUCGGAAUUACUGGGCGUAAAGCGCUCGUAGGCGGUAUGUCAAGUCAAGGGUGAAAGCCCCGCGCUCAAGGUGGGAACUGCCUUGGCAACUGGCAAACUGGAGAGUGUGAGAGGAUAGUGGAAUUCCAGGUGUAGGAGUGAAAUCCGUAGAUAUCUGGAGGAACAUCAGUGGCGAAGGCGACUAUCUGGCACAUAACUGACGCUGAGGAGCGAAAGCGUGGGUAGCAAACAGGAUUAGAUACCCUAGUAGUC
This 465-nucleotide ribosomal RNA is filed under the name uncultured bacterium. RNAcentral's name for it is "partial 16S ribosomal RNA". It matches the Rfam family "Bacterial small subunit ribosomal RNA", at positions 338 to 795 of the family's 1533-position model. The record is from RNAcentral.